RNAcentral lists this ribosomal RNA (705 nucleotides) under Streptomyces sp. Its description in RNAcentral is "bacterial SSU rRNA". It matches the Rfam family "Bacterial small subunit ribosomal RNA", at positions 48 to 772 of the family's 1533-position model. Lineage: Bacteria; Bacillati; Actinomycetota; Actinomycetes; Kitasatosporales; Streptomycetaceae. The record is from RNAcentral.
CUUACCAUGCAGUCGAACGAUGAACCACUUCGGUGGGGAUUAGUGGCGAACGGGUGAGUAACACGUGGGCAAUCUGCCCUUCACUCUGGGACAAGCCCUGGAAACGGGGUCUAAUACCGGAUACCACUACCGCAGGCAUCUGUGGUGGUUGAAAGCUCCGGCGGUGAAGGAUGAGCCCGCGGCCUAUCAGCUUGUUGGUGAGGUAAUGGCUCACCAAGGCGACGACGGGUAGCCGGCCUGAGAGGGCGACCGGCCACACUGGGACUGAGACACGGCCCAGACUCCUACGGGAGGCAGCAGUGGGGAAUAUUGCACAAUGGGCGAAAGCCUGAUGCAGCGACGCCGCGUGAGGGAUGACGGCCUUCGGGUUGUAAACCUCUUUCAGCAGGGAAGAAGCGAAAGUGACGGUACCUGCAGAAGAAGCGCCGGCUAACUACGUGCCAGCAGCCGCGGUAAUACGUAGGGCGCAAGCGUUGUCCGGAAUUAUUGGGCGUAAAGAGCUCGUAGGCGGCUUGUCACGUCGGGUGUGAAAGCCCGGGGCUUAACCCCGGGUCUGCAUUCGAUACGGGCUAGCUAGAGUGUGGUAGGGGAGAUCGGAAUUCCUGGUGUAGCGGUGAAAUGCGCAGAUAUCAGGAGGAACACCGGUGGCGAAGGCGGAUCUCUGGGCCAUUACUGACGCUGAGGAGCGAAAGCGUGGGGAGCGAA